UGACUUGGGAUGAUGCUACCCUGUC
This 25-nucleotide non-coding RNA is filed under the name Rattus norvegicus (Norway rat). Lineage: Eukaryota; Metazoa; Chordata; Mammalia; Rodentia; Muridae. The record is from RNAcentral.